GUCGCUCGUUGUCAGGGUGGAGCCAAUACUGGACACACUAUUUACAAUGCAGAGGGGAAGAAGUUUGCCCUUCAUCUUGUUCCUUUGGGUAUUCUUAAUGAGGAAACUGUGUGUGUGAUUGGUAAUGGGGUUGUAGUGCAUUUACCAGGGUUGUUUGAAGAAAUUGAUGGCCUUGAAUCUAAUGGGGUCUCCUGCAAAGCUUUAAGAUUCCAAGGUUUUAAGUAUAGCUCAGACAUGCUCAAAGAAGAAGUUGAAAAAUACAAGAGAUUUGCUGAGAGGUUGGAACCCUUCAUUGCUGACACUGUGUAUGUCGUGAAUGAAUCCAUUGCACAAAAGA
This is a non-coding RNA of Camellia sinensis, 337 nucleotides long. The record is from RefSeq and is a predicted model, not a curated record. NCBI's taxonomy places the organism in Eukaryota, Viridiplantae, Streptophyta, Magnoliopsida, Ericales, Theaceae.